AGCGAACGCUGGCGGCAGGCCUAACACAUGCAAGUCGAACGGGCAUAGCAAUAUGUCAGUGGCAGACGGGUGGGGAACGCGUGGCAACGUACCUUUUGGUUCGGAACAACACAGGGAAACUUGUGCUCAUACCGGAUAAGCCCUUACUAGGACAGAUUGCUUGCGGAAAAAUGGGCCGGAGUUUGAUUACCUAGGUGGUAGGAUGAUCGGAUAUCAAGGCGACGAUCAGUAGAUGGUCAGAGAGGAUGAUCAGACACAUUGGGACUGAGACACGGCCCAAACUACUGCGGGAGGCAGGAGUGGGGAAUAUAGGACAAUGGGCGAAAGCCUGAUGCAGCCAGGGCGCGUGAGUGAUGAAGUUCGGAGGGUUGUAAAGCUCGUUUGUGCGGGAAGAUUAUGACGGUACCGAAAGAAUAAGCCCCGGCUAACUUCGUG
RNAcentral lists this ribosomal RNA (435 nucleotides) under uncultured bacterium. Its description in RNAcentral is "partial 16S ribosomal RNA". It matches the Rfam family "Bacterial small subunit ribosomal RNA", at positions 29 to 507 of the family's 1533-position model. The record is from RNAcentral.